UGGCGCAGGGGUGCGUAACGCGUAAGCAAUCUGCCUAUGGGAAGGGAAUAACGACGAGAAAUCAUCGCUAAUACCCUAUAAUGCAGCGGCAUCGCAUGGUGAUGUUGUUAAAGUUGCAGCAAUGUAACACCUAUAGAUGAGCUUGCGUCUGAUUAGCUAGUUGGCGGGGUAAUGGCCCACCAAGGCAAUGAUCAGUAGCUGGUCUGAGAGGAUGAUCGGCCACACUGGAACUGAGACACGGUCCAGACUCCUACGGGAGGCAGCAGUGAGGAAUAUUGGGCAAUGCCCGCAAGGGUGACCCAGCAACGCCGCGUGGAGGAUGAAGGCCGUAAGGUUGUAAACUCCUGUGAGAAGGGAUGAAUAGUUUUGUUUCGUAAGGGACAGAACCUGACCGUACCUUCAGAGGAAGCCCCGGCUAACUACGUGCCAGCAGCCGCGGUAAUACGUAGGGGGCAAGCGUUGUCCGGAUUUACUGGGUGUAAAGGGCGCGCAGGUGGGUCGGUAAGUCAGAGGUGAAAUCCUGCAGCUUAACUGCAGAACUGCCUUUGAUACUGCUGAUCUUGAGUUCAGAAGAGAGUAGCGGAAUUCCAGGUGUAGUGGUGAAAUACGUAGAUAUCUGGAAGAACACCGGUGGCGAAGGCGGCUACUUGGUCUGACACUGACACUCAGGCGCGAAAGCGUGGGUAGCGAACAGGAUUAGAUACCCUGGUAGUCCACGCUGUAAACGAUGAAUACUAGGUGUCGGGUGGCAACACUCGGCGCCGCAGCUAACGCAUUAAGUAUUCCACCUGGGAAGUACGAUCGCAAGGUUGAACUCAAGGAAUUGACGGGGGCCCGCACAAGCAGUGGAGCAUGUGGUUUAAUUCG
Molecule: ribosomal RNA, 867 nt
Filed under: uncultured bacterium
Lineage: Bacteria
Description: bacterial SSU rRNA
Rfam family: Bacterial small subunit ribosomal RNA
Source: RNAcentral